This 459-nucleotide ribosomal RNA is filed under the name uncultured bacterium. RNAcentral's name for it is "partial 16S ribosomal RNA". It matches the Rfam family "Bacterial small subunit ribosomal RNA", at positions 338 to 795 of the family's 1533-position model. The record is from RNAcentral.
CCUACGGGUGGCAGCAGUGAGGAAUAUUGGACAAUGGGCGCGAGCCUGAACCAGCCAAGUCGCGUGAGGGAAGACGGUCCUAUGGAUUGUAAACCUCUUUUGUCGGGGAGCAAAAGACGCCACGCGUGGCGUUCCGAGCGUACCCGAAGAAAAAGCAUCGGCUAACUCCGUGCCAGCAGCCGCGGUAAUACGGAGGAUGCGAGCGUUAUCCGGAUUUAUUGGGUUUAAAGGGUGCGCAGGCGGAAGAUCAAGUCAGCGGUAAAAUUGAGAGGCUCAACCUCUUCGAGCCGUUGAAACUGGUUGUCUUGAGUGAGCGAGAAGUAGGCGGAAUGCGUGGUGUAGCGGUGAAAUGCAUAGAUAUCACGCAGAACUCCGAUUGCGAAGGCAGCAUACCGGCGCUCAACUGACGCUCAUGCACGAAAGUGUGGGUAUCGAACAGGAUUAGAUACCCUAGUAGUC